Molecule: transfer-messenger RNA, 365 nt
Filed under: Candidatus Aerophobota bacterium
Lineage: Bacteria; Candidatus Aerophobota
Also listed under: 1 other name
Description: Candidatus Aerophobetes bacterium transfer-messenger RNA
Rfam family: transfer-messenger RNA
About the family: Bacterial tmRNA, also known as 10Sa RNA or SsrA, is named for its dual tRNA and mRNA-like properties. Its role is to liberate the mRNA from a stalled ribosome. To accomplish this part of the tmRNA is used as a reading frame that ends in a translation stop signal.
Source: RNAcentral
GGGGGCGAUGUGGCUUCGACAGGGAUAAAGAAGCCAAAACUGCAUACCAAGGGAUGUCUGGAUACCUUGUAAAUCCAUCCAGUCAUAAACUAAGCGCCAACUUAAAUCCAUUGGCAUUAGCUCCUAGCCUGAGCUAAGAGCUACGCUUCUCUGUUUUUUACUCUGCGAAACAGAGAAAGUGGAAGACAGCAGAGUUAGCCUUGUUCUUAAGCAAGGGGGGAGCAAGGUGAACCUAACCCUUGCUAAUCUUCCUUCUAUCCCGUCUACAGGAGAGAGGAAGAUGAAACCCAAAAUGUAGACUAAGUAUGUAGACGUUUUGGUGUCCUUAUCCCUGGACGAGGGUUCGAUUCCCUCCGCCUCCACCA